This 440-nucleotide ribosomal RNA is filed under the name uncultured bacterium. Its description in RNAcentral is "partial 16S ribosomal RNA". It matches the Rfam family "Bacterial small subunit ribosomal RNA", at positions 338 to 795 of the family's 1533-position model. The record is from RNAcentral.
CCUACGGGAGGCAGCAGUGAGGAAUUUUGCACAAUGGGGGAAACCCUGAUGCAGCGACGCCGCGUGAGUGAAGAAGUAAUUCGUGACGUAAAGCUCUAUCCGCAGGGAAGAACAUGACGGUAACUGAAUAAGAAGCCCCGGCUAACUACGUGCCAGCAGACGCGGUAAUACGUAGGGGGCAAGCGUUAUCCGGAUUUACUGGGGGUAAAGGGUGAGGAGACGGCAGUGCAAGUCUGGAGUGAAAGGCGGGGGCUCAACCCCCGGAACGCUCUGGAAACUGUAAGGCUGGAGUGCAGGAGAGGAGAGUGGAAUUCCUAGUGUAGCGGUGAAAUGCGUAGAUAUUAGGAGGAACACCAGUGGCGAAGGCGGCUUACUGGACUGUAACUGACGUUGAGGCUCGAAAGCGUGGGGAGCAAACAGGAUUAGAUACCCUUGUAGUC